GUUUUUUCCACAUUUUGAACCAUUUAGUAUCCACAUAUUUUGUUGAGGAACCACGUCUCAUUCGAAAGUUCUCACUGAGCUAGCGUGCAAUUCAAGAUGAAGGCUUCCGUAGUUCUACUGUUGGCAUUUUUGACCCUUGUGUCCAUGGCUUCAGCCAUGCCAAGCCCGUUAAACGAGCAGCCACAAAAAGUACAAAGCGGCCAAAAACGAAGUGCUUAUAUGUUGGGUAUCAUUAAUGGAAAACUCGACAGGAUACUGAGAAUCUUGCAAAACAAUUCUUAAGAUCACCAAAGUAGUACUUAAAUAAAAAAGAUCAACCACGAUGUAAUUCACUAAAUAGAACACAAAAUAAAGCAUUUUAAAACGGA
Exaiptasia diaphana is the source of this 368-nucleotide long non-coding RNA. RefSeq lists it as uncharacterized. NCBI's taxonomy places the organism in Eukaryota, Metazoa, Cnidaria, Anthozoa, Actiniaria, Aiptasiidae. The transcript has 6 exons. The record is from RefSeq and is a predicted model, not a curated record.